Molecule: ribosomal RNA, 253 nt
Filed under: uncultured bacterium
Lineage: Bacteria
Description: partial 16S ribosomal RNA
Rfam family: Bacterial small subunit ribosomal RNA
Source: RNAcentral
UACGGAGGGUGCAAGCGUUAUCCGGAUUUACUGGGUUUAAGGGGUGGGUAGGCGGAUUUGUAAGUCCGAGGGGAAAUCUCCGAGCUUAACUCGGACACUGCCUUGGAUACUAUAAGUCUUGAAUGACGUUGAGGUUAGCGGAAUAUGUCAUGUAGCGGUGAAAUGCUUAGAUAUGACAUAGAACAUCUAUUGCGAAUGCAGCUAACUAAGCGUAUAUUGACGCUGAUGCACGAAAGCGUGGGGAUCAAACAGG